Molecule: small RNA, 840 nt
Filed under: uncultured Cladosporium
Lineage: Eukaryota; Fungi; Ascomycota; Dothideomycetes; Cladosporiales; Cladosporiaceae
Description: eukaryotic LSU rRNA
Rfam family: Eukaryotic large subunit ribosomal RNA (bases 563-840)
Source: RNAcentral
CUUGGUCAUUUAGAGGAAGUAAAAGUCGUAACAAGGUCUCCGUAGGUGAACCUGCGGAGGGAUCAUUACAAGUGACCCCGGUCUAACCACCGGGAUGUUCAUAACCCUUUGUUGUCCGACUCUGUUGCCUCCGGGGCGACCCUGCCUUCGGGCGGGGGCUCCGGGUGGACACUUCAAACUCUUGCGUAACUUUGCAGUCUGAGUAAACUUAAUUAAUAAAUUAAAACUUUUAACAACGGAUCUCUUGGUUCUGGCAUCGAUGAAGAACGCAGCGAAAUGCGAUAAGUAAUGUGAAUUGCAGAAUUCAGUGAAUCAUCGAAUCUUUGAACGCACAUUGCGCCCGCCAGCAUUCUGGCGGGCAUGCCUGUUCGAGCGUCAUUUCAACCCUCGCAGCCCCUCUGGGCAGCGGUGUUGGGGACCGGCACAACUGGCGCGCCCCCGUGGCGCCCGGCGCCGCCCCCGAAAUACAGUGGCGGUCCCGCCGCAGCCUCCCUUGCGUAGUAGCACACCUCGCACCGGAGCGCGGCGCGGCCAUGCCGUAAAACCCCCGACUUUCUGAGUUUGACCUCGAAUCAGGUAGGAAUACCCGCUGAACUUAAGCAUAUCAAUAAGCGGAGGAAAAGAAACCAACAGGGAUUGCCCCAGUAACGGCGAGUGAAGCGGCAACAGCUCAAAUUUGAAAUCUGGUCCCCAGGGCCCGAGUUGUAAUUUGUAGAGGAUGCUUUUGGCGCGGUGCCUUCCGAGUUCCCUGGAACGGGACGCCAUAGAGGGUGAGAGCCCCGUCUGGUUGGAUACCAAGCCUCUGUAAAGCUCCUUCGACGAGUCGAGUUGUUUGGGAAU